Molecule: long non-coding RNA, 1082 nt
Filed under: Cricetulus griseus (Chinese hamster)
Lineage: Eukaryota; Metazoa; Chordata; Mammalia; Rodentia; Cricetidae
Description: lncRNA (ENSCGRG00015038519.1)
Source: RNAcentral
CAGACAGAACUGUUCCCCAGACUUCUGAGCUCACGUAUGCUUUGCAUGUUAUGUGCCUGUAAGCACACACUUUUGCAUAUGGCCCUUCAUGUGAUGCCUGUGAGAAUUAGCCAUGUUGUCAUACACCAUGGAAAGAUGCUAAAAGCAGGGAGUGACGUUUUCUGAGAGACAGAGGUCAUGACUGGCUGGAGCUGGAGCAGCUUGGAAGCAACCCAGAAAAAGACUGCGUUACUUUAAGAGCUGAAGUCAGCCUCCGGAGAACAAAGCUGCCAGUGUAGGCACAGACUAAGAGAGUCUCACUAAGUCGGGGUGGGGGAUAGAGGACCGCUGUGGUACCCCCACCUCCUUCUCACAUCCCCUUUAGGAGCCUCGGGUAGGGAAGGGUUUGGGAAUGCCGAGAUGUCAUCAGGUUCUUUCUGAAACCCUCUGGCUCCUCACUGCCCACCCAAUAAAGCUCUGGCCUCUACCUAGAUGGCUUCCAGGAGUCUUUAUAACUACCUCUUCAGCCUCGUUUCCUUGCCCUCCCCCCACCCCAGCCAAUCACUCUACAAGGAACUACUUCUGGCUUCUGCCCACAUCCCUCCUUUUGCGGCACACCUCCCUAGUAAGGCUUUACAUCUCAAAGGCUUUCUCGGAUGCUCUUCCCCUAGAUAGGGUUAAAUUCUGUUUCCAAGAAGACUCAUCUCCAAGAUAAUAGUCCACCUAAGAAUCUAACCUCUGAGCCAGUAUCCAUGGCUCCCAGAGAAUUUGCCUCUAAAGAGUAGCCUCCAGGGGCCAUAAAACAUUUACAGAGGAGGACAGAGAAGUGGAAUUCCAGGCAGACAAUGGGAUCUGUGUCUGGGCAGGUAUGGUGAAAUGGGGAAAAGUAAAACUGUUUUCCUGGCUACUCUGCUUUUCCUUGAGUGCCACGGGACCAUGGGACUGGGCUGAAAUGCUGACACAAACAAUUAGUGCAGUUUGAGCGGGGUUUGGUAGCUCAAGUCUUUAAUCCCAGUACUUGGUAGGCAAGUGGAUCUCUGAAUUUGAAGCCGUCCUGGUCUACAUGGUGAGUUCUAGGACAGUCAGUGCUCUCUCUCUCUCUC